CCUGGUGAUAUUGGCGGAGCGCCCACACCCGAUCCCAUCCCGAACUCGGCCGUGAAAGGCUCCCGCGCCGAUGGUACUGCGUCUUAAGACGCGGGAGAGUAGGUCAUCGCCAGGC
RNAcentral lists this ribosomal RNA (115 nucleotides) under Hyphomicrobiales bacterium. Lineage: Bacteria; Pseudomonadati; Pseudomonadota; Alphaproteobacteria; Hyphomicrobiales. The record is from RNAcentral.